GAUGAACGCUGGCGGCGUGCCUAAUACAUGCAAGUCGAGCGAAUGGAUUAAGAGCUUGCUCUCAUGAAGUUAGCGGCGGACGGGUGAGUAACACGUGGGUAACCUGCCCAUAAGACUGGGGUAACUCCGGGAAACCGGGGCUAAUACCGGAUAACAUUUUGAACCGCAUGGUUCGAAAUUGAAAGGCGGCUUCGGCUGUCACUUAUGGAUGGACCCGCGUCGCAUUAGCUAGUUGGUGAGGUAACGGCUCACCAAGGCAACGAUGCGUAGCCGACCUGGGAGGGUGAUCGGCCACACUGGGACUGAGACACGGCCCAGACUCCUACGGGAGGCAGCAGUAGGGAAUCUACCGCAAUGGACGAAAGUCUGACGGAGCAACGCCGCGUGAGUGAUGAAGGCUUUCGGGUCGUAAAACUCUGUUGUUAGGGAAGAACAAGUGCUAGUUGAAUAAGCUGGCACCUUGACGGUACCUAACCAGAAAGCCACGGCUAACUACGUGCCAGCAGCCGCGGUAA
This 515-nucleotide ribosomal RNA is filed under the name uncultured bacterium. RNAcentral describes it as "partial 16S ribosomal RNA". It matches the Rfam family "Bacterial small subunit ribosomal RNA", at positions 28 to 523 of the family's 1533-position model. The record is from RNAcentral.